CGUCGACGGGUACGGCUCCAUGAAGGGCCUCAUCCGCCUCCGCUCCCAGGCCGCCGACGCCGGUGGCCUCCCCGGCGAGGACUCCGGAUCCGGCGAGAGCGACGUGGAGGAGCACGUCGAGGUGGAGCGCCGCCUCGACCACGACCUCAGCCGCUUCGAGAUGGUGCAGCUCCCCGUCGCGGCCGGCGACUGCGAGGACGACGAAGACGACGACGACGGCGACGAGGCCCGCACCGCGCGGCUGGAGGAGGAGAACCUGACCCUGCGCGAGCGGCUGUUCCUGAUGGAGCGCG
This 293-nucleotide unclassified non-coding RNA is filed under the name Hevea brasiliensis (rubber tree). The record is from RNAcentral. Lineage: Eukaryota; Viridiplantae; Streptophyta; Magnoliopsida; Malpighiales; Euphorbiaceae.